UGAGUGGCGAACGGGUGAGUAACACGUGAGUAACCUCGCCCCCUUCCUUUGGGAUAACGCCCGGAAACGGGUGCUAAUACUGGAUAUUCACUGGCCUUCGCAUGGGGGUUGGUGGAAAGGUUUGUUCUGGUGGGGGAUGGGCUCGCGGCCUAUCAGCUUGUUGGUGGGGUGAUGGCCUACCAAGGCUUUGACGGGUAGCCGGCCUGAGAGGGUGACCGGUCACAUUGGGACUGAGAUACGGCCCAG
RNAcentral lists this ribosomal RNA (246 nucleotides) under uncultured bacterium. RNAcentral's name for it is "partial 16S ribosomal RNA". It matches the Rfam family "Bacterial small subunit ribosomal RNA", at positions 92 to 334 of the family's 1533-position model. The record is from RNAcentral.